GAUGAACGCUGGCGGCGUGCUUAACACAUGCAAGUCGAACGGAAAGGCCCCUUUGUGGCUUCUCUGGUGUCGAACGGGGACGUAACACGUAAGUAACCUGCCCUUGACUUCAGGAUUACUUCAAGUAACGGGGACCAGUACUAGAUAGGAAUCCUUUCUGCAUGGGCGUGGUUGGAAAGCGUCGGCGGGUUUUGAUGUGUUGGCGGCUUAUCAGCUUGUUGGUGUGGUAGUGGAUUACCAAGGCUUUUAAGGGUAGCCGGCCUGAGUGGGCGACCGGCGACAUUGGGACUGAGAGACGGCCCAGAUUGCGACGGGAGGCAGAAGUGGGGAAGAUUGCCCAAUGGGCGGCAGCCUGAUGAAGAAACGCCGCGUGCGGGAUGACGGCCUUAUGGUUGUAAACCGUUUUCAGCAGGGGCGAAGCUUGUGGUGACGGUACCUGCAGAAGAAGCACCGGCUAACUACGUG
Molecule: ribosomal RNA, 465 nt
Filed under: uncultured bacterium
Lineage: Bacteria
Description: partial 16S ribosomal RNA
Rfam family: Bacterial small subunit ribosomal RNA
Source: RNAcentral